GAAAAGGAAGCAUACUUGUAUUACAUAUUUUGCAAAGUCAAAAAUCGGAUCCAAGGAGAAAACAAGUCAUACAAUCAGAUCAAGAUGUGCAUGUGUGUGAAUAUGUGGAUGGUGGAUAGAAGAUGUAUGGAAACUUCUUUUUAUAUGAUCUCUCUCCCUUUGAAAAUAUUUUGUACAUGGCUACCUUUAUUUUUCAUAUACUUGGAUCUUCAUGUGUCCAGCUCCUCUCUUUUUUUACUUGGACCUUCAUGUGUCCAUUUUUCUUUCUUUCUUUCUUUCAUUUUUUUUCAAUAGCCCAUGUCUCUUUUGUAACGAUAGCUGGAGAGAUAGAUCAACAUAUAUAGUGAAGCAUUUAUUUUGUGGAAUGGAUGGAUGGUAUAUUUUGCGCAACUUCUAGUGUAGAAGUCAGCAUAUAAAGGUGGAGUGUACGUGAUCUUUGAUCAUGAAAGUAUGAAAAGUUUCUCACACGGGUCACAACAGUUUGAUAAAGCUCAAUGCAAAUAUAAGUAGUAUAUGGAUAAGGUUUCCAAUGAGAUUAACAUAUGGCUUUGGUAGGAAUUUAACAUCAUAUCAUUGAGGAGUCAAACUAUAUAUUUUUUGCAUGAUAAAAUUCCCAAGUACUUUGCUGGAAGAAGUAAGGUUUCUGUCAU
Molecule: long non-coding RNA, 650 nt
Filed under: Setaria viridis
Lineage: Eukaryota; Viridiplantae; Streptophyta; Magnoliopsida; Poales; Poaceae
Description: long non-coding RNA (SVIR_LNC005403)
Source: RNAcentral